This 638-nucleotide ribosomal RNA is filed under the name Malassezia sympodialis. RNAcentral's name for it is "eukaryotic LSU rRNA". It matches the Rfam family "Eukaryotic large subunit ribosomal RNA", at positions 38 to 667 of the family's 3401-position model. The record is from RNAcentral. Lineage: Eukaryota; Fungi; Basidiomycota; Malasseziomycetes; Malasseziales; Malasseziaceae.
GCAUAUCAAUAAGCGGAGGAAAAGAAACUAACAAGGAUUCCCCUAGUAACGGCGAGCGAAGCGGGAAGAGCUCAAAUUUGAAAGCUGGCACCUCCGGUGUCCGCGUUGUAAUCUCGAGACGUGUUUUCCGUGCGGCUCUAUGGACAAGUCCCUUGGAACAGGGCAUCGUAGAGGGUGAAAAUCCCGUACUUGCCAUGGAUGUACCGUGCUUUGUGAUACACGCUCUAAGAGUCGAGUUGUUUGGGAUUGCAGCUCAAAAUGGGUGGUAGACUCCAUCUAAAGCUAAAUAUCGGGGAGAGACCGAUAGCGAACAAGUACCGUGAGGGAAAGAUGAAAAGCACUUUGGAAAGAGAGUUAAAAGUACGUGAAAUUGUCGAAAGGGAAGCGCUUGAAGUCAGCCAUGCUGCGCGGACUCAGCCCGGCUGAUGCCUGGUGUAUUUCCCAGCAGCAAGUCAGCAUGGAUUUGGAUCGCCGGAGAAGGGUGGGAGGAAUGUGGCACCCUCGGGUGUGUUAAGCCUCCUACUGGAUACGGCGAUUUGGAUCCAGGAACGCAGUGUGCCUCUGGCGGGUCUUCGGACACCUUCACACUUAGGAUGCUGGCGUAAUGGCUUUAAGCGGUCCGUCUUGAAACACGGACC